Molecule: long non-coding RNA, 2235 nt
Filed under: Lactuca sativa (garden lettuce)
Lineage: Eukaryota; Viridiplantae; Streptophyta; Magnoliopsida; Asterales; Asteraceae
Description: long non-coding RNA (LSAT_LNC007704)
Source: RNAcentral
AAAUAUUUUAUUCAAGAACAUGAGGAAAUUACACUAUAAGAAAAGAUUAAAGUAAAUCUAUUCUACCUAAGAAACCUCAUUAUGAUUGGCGGCUACAUCUUGCCUUACUCUUAACCCUGAUAAUGAAUAAUACAUGACUUUAUAUAGGGAAUAAAACAAAUCUUGGGUCAAUAACCUACAUAUCAUCAAGGGGGGCCAUUGUCAUAAUCCAUGGAAUAUUUUGAACCCUACCAUCCAUCAAUUAAUAAACGACCUUAGAGAUAAAUAUGAAAGCCUCGCCACUUUGAUCCAACAAUCCACCCCUCUGCCAAAUUUCUACACCGCUCGAUCAGACCUAAUCUUGGAAGAAACAUGCAAGAUCAUAAUUCCAGCACCUCCAAAGCAUCGACCGACACAACGGUUGCCUUGAAUACUCAGAAAACAACUGUCACCACUGAUCGAGGACACCAGCUGCCACCAACCGAACAAUAGUAUCGUGGUAUUGGUUGGCACAAUAAAUUCGAACAGUUAGACUAUGGUGAAAGGCGACGACACAAUGGUAGAGAGGUCUCAUCAAAAGUUAAAAGACAACACCAAUCAUAGUAUUAAAAAGUUAAAAGACAACAUCAAUCAUACUAUUAAAAACAUUACAAUUUACAAUAAGUUUGAACAAGUUUUAAAAGAAAUUACAAUGUAUUUGAAAAACAAAACAUGCGAAUGCUCUUACAAGUGAUGUGUCUCUAGGUGCCUCUUACUAGAUGAUUCAUGAAUAAGCAUGUAAAAUGGGCGGUGUGACAUCCCCAUUUUCACGGCCAAAAAAGACCGAUGUUGUUUAUGCUUUAUAAAAAUCAGAGUACUUCAUUUUAUAAAAAUGUUGCGGAAUUUGUUCCCAGAAAAACAUGGUAAAUACGUUAUUAAAACAUUUUCGAAGAAACGUAUUUAUUUCAUUUUAAAACGUUUGGGAUGUCAUCGUUAAUACAGAAACAUAAGCAUAAACAGAACUUACAAUUAUUUACACUAGUGAUCUACAUCUCUUUAAAUCUCUCAGUGUAAUGUCACUUCAUAUCAACACCUGUGAUAUAAAUAAACUGAGUGGGUCAGGUUGGGAAACCUGGUGAGUACAUAGGGUUUUCAACCCACAAUAAUAUAAUUAUUAUGUUUAAACAAUCAAACAAUCAACCCAAUUACCCAUCCCCAUUAUCUUCUUUAUUCUUAAGGAUCUACCCUAAAAAUCAGCUAUUUCUCAUUCAUUCAUUCCUAAGGAUUAUCCUAAGGAAACAACAUGAAGUCCAUUGUUGCCAAUGACACAUUGGUCAAGCGCAGCUGCUAAUAUUGUCACUUAGGCUCAGCUGCCAGAAUUAGGACAUUUUCUAUGAGGCGCUUCUGCCGGUAUUGACCUUUAAACACUACUGUCAUGGUCAUAAGGCUCCCUAUUAGGCGCAACUGCCGAUACUAUCCUUAGAGCGCAGCUGCUAGGAUGUUUACCGUAGAUCUAAAUCAUCUACGGGUUGUGGCGCAGCUGCCAGUGCUCAUCUAUAGGGUACUAGGUCCACUGCUGCCAAUGUAUACCUAUAGGGCACUAGGUCCGUACUACUAAUGUUCCUCUAUUUCAGCUUUUAUCCAUCAUCAUUCAUCUACCCAUGUUUUACCCAACAUAUUUUGUAGAUAUAAAAUACUUUAUACAGUUUACAUCAUUUAAAACAUGUAUAAAAAUCUUUCACCAGCAUAGACAACAAGUAUUCAGACAAUAUGCACACAUAACACGUAAUUUAUAUUAAAAUACUUCAUAUCUAUGUGUAAGAUGAAAGAGACCAUGCACUCACCUGAUUAGGUGGUGAUUCCGAACUCAGACAGCACUUCGUUAUCUCAAAACAAUUUUCCUCGACAAAACCUAGUAUCAAUACCACUAGGGUUUAGUUUUUAACGUUAACCACGACUAAUUAAUAGUCUAGCUAUUAUUACUAUUAUAUAAGCGUUAAAUAACACUCAAUAUAACUCAUAAUAAUAGCCCAAAUAAUUAUUUUAAGGUCCUAAUAAUGUUACUAUAAUUAAAUAAAAUCUAUAUUAAAUAUAGUAUAGGCGUAGCUCACUUACAGCGAGUUUUUAUUAAAAACCGGGCUUCGCUGGAGCAGCGUUUCCAAGCCGAAAGCUUUUCUUCUCGGAGCCGUCGGGCGCUCCGGGGCUUUCUUCUCGUGCUAGGGAGGUUCCGUAGACUUGGGAGGGGUUUAGGGAGGCUAGAGAGAAGUUAGAGAGAGA